AACUAUUCUAUAGUGGUUAACGCGAUGCCCUGCUAUUAGUCAGACUAAAGUUUAGGCAUUUCCUUCGGGAGCGCAGGUUCGAAUCCUGCAGUUGUCG
This is a non-coding RNA of Tothia fuscella, 97 nucleotides long. The record is from the annotation of a GenBank genome assembly. NCBI's taxonomy places the organism in Eukaryota, Fungi, Ascomycota, Dothideomycetes, Venturiales, Cylindrosympodiaceae.